This 253-nucleotide ribosomal RNA is filed under the name uncultured bacterium. RNAcentral describes it as "partial 16S ribosomal RNA". It matches the Rfam family "Bacterial small subunit ribosomal RNA", at positions 524 to 776 of the family's 1533-position model. The record is from RNAcentral.
UACGGAGGGUGCAAACGUUGCUCGGAAUCAUUGGGCGUAAAGCGCACGUAGGCGGUCUCGUAAGUUGGAUGUGAAAGCCCUUGGCUUAACCAAGGAAGUGCAUUCAAAACUGCUUGACUUGAGUACCGGAGAGGGUCGCGGAAUUCUCGGUGUAGAGGUGAAAUUCGUAGAUAUCGGGAGGAACACCAGUGGCGAAGGCGGCGACCUGGACGGAUACUGACGCUGAGGUGCGAAAGCGUGGGGAGCGAACAGG